GCGGGUAUAGUUCAGUGGUAAAACACAACCUUCCCAAGGUUGAGUCGCGAGUUCGAUUCUCGUUACCCGCU
The sequence is a transfer RNA, 71 nucleotides long. It matches the Rfam family "tRNA". From Rfam's summary of the family: Transfer RNA (tRNA) molecules are approximately 80 nucleotides in length. Their secondary structure includes four short double-helical elements and three loops (D, anti-codon, and T loops). The record is from Rfam.